UGAACAGUACAAUGUGCUCAUUAUUUAGAGAAUGAAGCAAAGUGGGAGGAGAAAGAUUGCUUACCUGAUCUGCUGGAGGAGAUGAAGACGACGGUGAAGUUGAUGUUAGUCUAUGUGUUUUCUGCUUGCGUUUUUCCUUUUGCUUUCCUUGUCUUUCCGUCUAAGUUUAUUCCUCUGUUUCCUUCUCCCCCUCCUAAUUCUCUCUCUGUUUUUGGUCUCUCUCUCCCUGUAAGUUCCCCUGCUCGUCGUCUCCUCUCUUUAUGCUCACUGUUUUUGUUUUCUUAGCAGCUUUUUAGAUGAUGAAGGAGUUAAGGAGAUGAUGAAUAUAUCAGCUUUCUGUGAAUUUGUUUUGACUGAUUCUGGGUCUUUCUUUGUCUGCAGGGUUGAAGGCAAUGGCAGAGCCAAUACUCGUCUCUGUGUUGCUCCUCUACUUUUCUAUCCUUCUAUUCUCUGUAUAUUUCUAAUCAUGAAGAGAAAAUAAAUGUAUUCGAAUCAUGGUUGUCAGCAUGUGAGCAAGUUUAUCCUCCCGUUAAUUCAAUCUUUUCGGCGUAUUUU
This 555-nucleotide long non-coding RNA is filed under the name Populus tremula. Its description in RNAcentral is "long non-coding RNA (PTRE_LNC001177)". The record is from RNAcentral. Lineage: Eukaryota; Viridiplantae; Streptophyta; Magnoliopsida; Malpighiales; Salicaceae.